RNAcentral lists this ribosomal RNA (301 nucleotides) under uncultured bacterium. Its description in RNAcentral is "partial 16S ribosomal RNA". It matches the Rfam family "Bacterial small subunit ribosomal RNA", at positions 509 to 807 of the family's 1533-position model. The record is from RNAcentral.
CAGUCGCCGCGGUAACACGUAGGUGGCAAGCGUUGUCCGGAUUUAUUGGGCGUAAAGCGAGCGCAGGCGGUCAAUUAAGUCUGAUGUGAAAGCCCCCGGCUCAACCGGGGAGGGUCAUUGGAAACUGGGAAACUUGAGUGCAGAAGAGGAGAGUGGAAUUCCACGUGUAGCGGUGAAACGCGUAGAGAUGUGGAGGAACACCAGUGGCGAAGGCGACUCUCUGGUCUGUAACUGACGCUGAGGAGCGAAAGCGUGGGGAGCGAACAGGAUUAGAUACCCCCGUAGUCCCUGUCUCUUAUAC